GAUCCUGGCUCAGGACGAACGCUGGCGGCGCGCCUAAUACAUGCAAGUAGAACGCUGAAGGAGGAGCUUGCUUCUCUGGAUGAGUUGCGAACGGGUGAGUAACGCGUAGGUAACCUGCCUGGUAGCGGGGGAUAACUAUUGGAAACGAUAGCUAAUACCGCAUAACAGCAGUUGUUGCAUGACAACUGUUUAAAAGGUGCAAUUGCAUCACUACCAGAUGGACCUGCGUUGUA
RNAcentral lists this ribosomal RNA (233 nucleotides) under uncultured bacterium. RNAcentral describes it as "partial 16S ribosomal RNA". It matches the Rfam family "Bacterial small subunit ribosomal RNA", at positions 15 to 240 of the family's 1533-position model. The record is from RNAcentral.